Molecule: long non-coding RNA, 6546 nt
Filed under: Monodelphis domestica (gray short-tailed opossum)
Lineage: Eukaryota; Metazoa; Chordata; Mammalia; Didelphimorphia; Didelphidae
Description: lncRNA (ENSMODG00000038049.1)
Source: RNAcentral
UACAAAGCCCCGUGGUAGGUUGUGCUGUUGUGGUUAAUUAGGCCAACAGGUAACAGGUGAGGGGGUAAGCUUAUCAGUUAAUUACCCUCCCCCUUUACCUCCCUACCCAGUGUUAGGGCAAUCCCAAGACUGCUUGGUAGAGAGAAGUUUGUUAUCAGUAGAAGGAAGCAUGACUGGUUGAGAUCCGGGAUGUUAGGGGAGGUAAUGCAUGGAAUGGUCAGGAUGCAGCCUUUGCUCUUCCAAGUCCAUCUUUUCUUCCUAUGCUUCUCUCAGUUACCAAGUGGAGCUGCGGCUGGUCCAGACUCAGGCUCAGGUUUAGGGCUGCCUCACAGUUCUACAAGUGAUAUGGUAAGAGAGCUUCAGGACCCUCAACAUGCUGAGCUUGAGAAGAGAUUAUUUUGGACUGAAAUUUAUGUCCCUGUGAGACGCUGCCAUGCCAUCUUAAAGAACAAAAAGGGGGAGUUUUCAGUCCCAGUCAUUCGGAAUCGCCGUUUUAAGAACAUCUGGUGUAACUGGACCAUCUGGGCAGGCCCCAGAAACCACAUUAUCAUCUAUGUCCAAGGGUUUAGGGGAAGCAAGGAUUGUAAAGAAAAUGCAGAUAAAAUUAUAUUUGAGAGUGUUGCCUCUAUUAUGGAAAGCACCAUUGCCUAUGCUUGUUGGAACAAGAGAGUACACGUCUAUGCAUCUCAGGCCUUGGCUGUGAAUGUGGCAUUGCUGUUAAAUAACUAUACCUGGAACCAACGAUAUAAAUAUUUUAGAGGGAAAUAUUAUAUCUUCAGAGAUCCCAGGGAAAGAACUUUAGAGAAAGGGGAUCUAACUUACAAAGUUCCUCUUCAAAGACCUUCCUGCAAGCUUACUUACAGUAGUACUGGGCUAAAGGUUGAACUACCAGUUGGGACAUCUCAAAGAGGUCUAGAGGUGACCUCUCCUGAACCAAUGCCAUCAAAAGAUCUUCAACCAGAGGGAUCUUUCACAUGGGGAAGAGAGGAGGUAGAGUUUUCUGAGAUCUCUUUGCCUUACUUAUUUCCAUUGAACUCUGAGAGGUUAUCUGGUAAAUCCCAGGUAGACAGCAUCAUCAGCACAAAAACACUAGAUGUGGGUGAGAUGAGCCUUGGGGAUGGAUUGUUUUUCAAAGCUCUAGGGAAAACUGCAGCCCUUGAUAUUAGAUGGUUGGAAAUUACACAAGAAAAGAACAUUCUUUCCCUUGGGUCUACUAUGGAUGGCUCAACAGUUGACCUUGAUAUCCUUUAUGAAAAUACUCCUUACCUUGUGAGUCCUACACCAUCAACUACAAUGGGAGAUGAAUCUAUAAAUAUCAAAUCAGAAAGAGUUGAUAAUCAAACUGACUACUUAAUUCCCACUUCAGAGGAUGCUACAAUAAACAUUAAGCCAAUUCCCAUAAGCCAUUCCAUUUUGGGUAUUCUCUCAGAUACAGAAUUCCUUGAAAAGACUAAAUACUCUAAAAAUGAGAAGAUUCAGAUCAGUCCCUCCCAGAUAAGGAGUAGUUUAUCUGGAAGUGAACAGCAGUCCUUUCUGCAGACUGAAGUCCUGACUCAGGAAGCUUUAACAAUAUCCACUGAUUCUAUGGAGAUUCAUAUAUCCAGUAUUGACCUGGCCUAUGAAACUCAGUUCCCUCUUGAAGGUUCCUUGCACUCAAUCCCCGUGGUUCCAACAGUUCAUACAGCUAUGGAUUUUUCUCCUAAAUCUUCUCAAGAAAUCUUCAGUGACAUGGGGUUCAUGCUUAUGGUGACAUCUCUAGAUGGCAGAGGAUUAGUCCCUGAACUGCCUUCAACCAUCUCCAUUAGAUCCACAGAGGUCAGAACUGAGGCUGAGCCAGAACUUCUCCAAACAGCCAGAUCACUUCCAGGGCUAGCAGAGACAGAAAGCUUGUCCAGCUGUGUGAUCUCUGAAGAAGCCCCUAGUAGGCAUCAAAUGAGUCUUGCUGAAUCAUACCUGAAGUUUGUUGUCAGUCAAGAAAGGUUUCUUCCCUUUACUACUUACCAGGAGAAUCUAUCUGAUGUUGAAUUGACCCUAACUCCUUCCCAAGUGAUUAAGUCUGUAAGUGUCUCUGAGUGGGUUCUCCAAAAAAUUCCAGUGUCCAUUCCCUCAGUCUAUCACAGUGAACAAGUUUCAACUGAGCAGACUUUAGGGAUCCCUUUGACUUUAACCCAGGGAGCUAUGCUAAAAGCCAAACAGCCUUCCAUGACCCCAUUUGAGACUAGAACUGAGAUAGACUCCAUGCUGGUUGUUCAAAGUAUAACCACACCUUUUGGUUCAGUGCAUCAUGAAGAAGAGAGCAUGGCAGCUACUGUGUUCUCUUUUGGGAUUCCCUUGAGUCACCAUCCAAAUUUUUCUAAGAGCAACAUGGAAUGUUAUUUCUCAAAUCCAACUGCAGAAUCUCUUGCCUUCCUCCCCACUCCUACACCAAGCAUAAAUGAAGACAAGCAUACUCUUAGAAGUUUAUCAAGUCAUUCCUGGACUGAUCCAGGAGAAAUGUUUUCAAGUGUAGGAAAAACUGAGCCACUUCCACUGUUUGCUUUGAAGAAUGUAGGUGUUACUACCUCUGAAUCAAGUCCUAGAAGACUUGGACUUAGCGUAAAGAAUUUCUUUGACCCAUUAGAAGGUGAAUCCCUUAUUGAAAAAGGAACACAGAGUAUAUCUCAACUAGUCUCCAAGGACAAUUUUUCACAAGGUAGGGAUGCUUCUUCAGGAAGUAAGAUUUCCUUGGUUUCUAAAACUUAUUCUAAAAUGACUCUCCUGUCAGCUCUGCAAUCAAUCCCUAGCAGUGCCAUGACUAUAUCUUGGAAACCUGAUGAAAUUCAGACCGAAAUGACUGUUCAGCCCUCAAAGAAGGAUGAGACAGUGAAUAAAAGCAAGCCUUGGAAACCCUUCAACUCCUUUGGACAGAACCAGAAUCUUGCCAAAGCCAACUUUAUAUCUUUGUUCCCUAGUGUUCCAUCAAUGUCCUUGGGUAAGUGGGACCAGACAGGGGACCUUCCUGCAGUCUCCUCAUCCCCGCCUCUCUGGUCUAAGGAUACAGACCUUUUGGAAGCCAAAAAUCUUCAAGACUCUGAGAUCUUUACUCCAUCCAGCAUGGUAGCGUAUCUUCCUAUAAGAAGGUGUCAUGUGGUUUUGGAAGAUACCUUUGGAACUUUUUCAUUGCCAGAGGAUCUAAGUACUUCUUGGCCAAACAUCUGGUGUAACUGGACUAUCUGGGCAGGGACCAAGAAACACAUUAUUGUUUACAUCAAAGGAUUUGAGGGGCCUGAGAACUGUGAUGAAAGCCAGGACAAAAUAAUUUUUCAAGGGGUCUCAUCAAGUGUGGAAAGGAAAAUCUUCUAUGCAUGUAGAAAGCAAGGAACUUUGACUUUUGCUACUCAAGCCCUGGCUGUCCACAUAGUGUUUCUCUCUAUGAGAUCUUAUCCUAGACAUAUUCCAUCUUUUGAAGGCGAGUAUUUUAUCUUCACAGACCCAGAGAGACAAGUUCCUCCUAAAUCUGUCUUUGGGUCUUCCCAAGCAACUUCUCAGAGGCUCAGAGAGAGGAGUCCAAGUAGCCUGAAUUCUCAUCCUGACCUAGUGUCAAAACUGUCCUUUGGGAGUUUUCCAAACAUGAACAGCAUCUGUACAGGUCUGGAGGACAAAAGACAAAUAGUCACUGAGACACUGAUCAUGAAGAACAAAGAGCUAGUAGAGAGAGAAAGAAAGGGUCUUGAAAGGAAGCAACUGUGUGGCUUCCUUCCUCUGAUCCCUACUAAAGGUCCAUUGAUAAUGAACAAAAACCCAUCACCUCUCCUGAUUAGGCAGAAACUCAGCAGAUCCAUAGACAGUAUAAAAAAUUCAGUUCAAAGAGACUCUGCUGUCAGGAUGGCAUUAAUCCCAAAUAUCUUGUAUGAGCACAAACCAGAAAAUAAAGCUACUCAAGGUGACUUGCCUGUAGACUCAUUGUUAAUAUACUCUCAUUGGCCUUCUAAGACUUUGCCCUUGACAAAACUGCUCCCCAAACCUGCAGGCAUUUCUGACAGGCUUCUUCCAUCUGCCAUUGUUCAAGAACAGAGGUUGUCUUGGAGUUCUGCUGAAGCAGAGUCCCUUGCAUUGCAAGGGGACCUUGAUAUUACUAGGUCUUCUAACUUUUAUUCCCACUUGAUGGCUCAGAGUAUAAGGAAACCCCAGGAUGCUGUGAAUCAUCGUGAUCAUCUUUACCAGAGUUUCAGCCAUGUGAAGCUGGUUAAAGAAAAGAAUUUUCUAGAAGCAAUGUCUGGAGGUGAUGAGCUCACAGUGGACACCUUAAAUAUCCCUAAAGAAGAAUUGUCCUCAAAUCUUCUAUUCAAUGUUAAACAGUUAGAUCCAGAAUCCAGUGCCGCUAGCAAAGAGAGAGGUGGGGAAAUGUUCUCAACAAAGUUGGUGAGCAAGGGAGUCAAUUUGGAUCCAACUCAGUUCAUCACUUUGCAAAAUCUCAGUGAGGAGCUACAAGGUCCGGAAAGCUCUAGGAGAGUGACAAUGUCCAAUGGAUUUGUGAGGGAUUCUAUAUCUUCUGGCAGCUUGGCUGAUCUCUCUUCUUUCAUGAAGACUCUUCACACUCCCCAGAAUUUCUUCAGAGAAGUCACAGAUGAUUUCCAACCAAGCACUGCUGGUGCUGACACAAGUCCUUCAGUACCUAACUUCCAAGCCAAAGAGGGUCUGCAGACCAAGGCUUUGCUAUCUUUGAGCCCUGAUCAAGUGUGGAAGAACAUGACAACUGAAGGAGUCUUAGUUUUAACCCCAGGAUAUCCUGAUGCAAGAACAACCUCCCAAUCUUUUGGAAAUGGGUCUGCCUUAGAUUUCCAACACUAUCCAGGAGAUAUCCUAUUGGAAGUGACAAUCGAAACGGAGUACCCGGUAAAGAGCCUGCACAAUGCCUCGGAAGUGGAGAAAGUCUUGGUAGAUUUAUUUAAGCAAGAGAUUGAGGAAAAUCUAGGCCACUUUUCACCUGAAACAGAUGCAUUCAAACUAACCAGAAUUAAGAGAAAGGACACCUCAAAUGUCAUGUUUGUUUUCUGGCUACAUCUGAUGUCUAGAGGGAGAAAUAUAUCCAAUUACCUGAUGCCCCAAUUUGGAGCUUCUCUGAGCAGUACCCUGCAUUCCCAAUUAAGAACUCUCAUCAGAGAUGCCAUAGAAGCUCUCCAAAUUCAUCUGAAAUCUAUCUCCAUUGACGAUGUAAAUGAAUGUGAAACUGGCCUAGAACAUUGUGGUGAAGGGGCUGAGUGUUUCAAUGGAGUUGGCACUUACAUUUGCCAUUGCAAAGAAGACCAUGAAGACCGUUCCCCAAUGCAGACUGGAAUCCUAUGUGUCCAUGUCCCACAUUCAGGGGUUGGAUUUUCUUUUAAUUAUCUGGAUCUUGUCAUCAGUGCUUCUGUGUUUGCCACCAUCAUCAUCAUACUGAUCAUAGGUUUAGUGUGGCAGGCAAUGAGAACAACCCAAGAGAAGAAAGAUUUUUGCCUCCAGGAAACAGCAUCCCUGGAGGGUUUGUCUUCAUCACCACUGACCCAAACCAAACCUUACUUUAACCUGAAGAAGUUUAAUAAAUAUUCCCUCUAUAAUCCCUAUCAGCCUAAGCCCCAAGCUAGAGUCAUAGAUGACUCCCUGGAAGACAUAUCCUACCUGAGCAAAGACUCCCAUGUGUGGGUGGAACAGUCCAAAGAACUCUAAUGAUGAUUUAAGGAACAUUUAUUUGUUGUCUCUCUGAUCUCCUGUUGAGUCAGAUGAAGGAGGAGGUGACUUUUCUCUCAGCGGUUAUAAGUGAUCUAUAAACUAUUUUCUCUGGAAGAAGGAAAGACUGAACAUUUUGGAGUAGAUGAUGGGGAAAGGGAGUCUAUCUGGUAACUUGAAAGGAGAGAAUUUCCUAUUGUAAUUCAAUUUGUCUUUUUUGUUCCUUCCUACCUGAAGCAUAUUUUGUGGCUCCCAGCCUUUCUAGGUGAAGGCAUUCACAUGUCUGUGUCUUAACAUCAAGACUUUCCACACUAAUUCCCAUAAUGAGCAAAAGUACAAAUCUAAUGACCUGGAAAAUUUUGUGCCAUCUGACUGGUCUGCAGGAAGCACCUAGGGGUUCAGGAAAUGGAUGGGGCACAUCGUACUUAUUUCCAAAGCUAAUGAAUGAAUCCAGUGACUUUUGAGGAUGCUCAAGUUCAAGUGAUGUUAAUUUAGCACGGUUUAGAAACUCCCAAUUGACCAUAAUGUAGUUUUAUACAAAGAAUUUAAAAAAUUUCACCUCUUGGAGAUGGAGAAAAGCUUUGGUAUUCAAAAAUAAUUCUCUCUUGUACCUAUCAACUAUUUUUUAUAAAGUUAGAAAUGAGUGUUAUAGGAAGACUCUCUUAAUUAUCCCUUAAUCUACUGCUGAAAUACUUUGUUUUAAAUUCUUUUUCAAGAAAUUGUGCCUUUCCCAUAGUCAAAUGCUGCACUGUUCAUUUUUAACCAAUGAUGGCUAACUGUUCAGAGAAGUUCCUUUGUCUGAUAUAGUAGUUUCCUUGUAAGCUGAUCCCCCAAAUAAAAUAAGACUUUUUUUUUUUUGCA